AGACAUGGUGGUCGACGACGUCGCCGUUGCUGCCGUCGACGGCGCCGCAGCAGUUCACCCCGCUCAUGUUGUCCA
RNAcentral lists this transfer RNA (75 nucleotides) under Streptomyces griseoincarnatus. RNAcentral's name for it is "tRNA-Gly". Lineage: Bacteria; Bacillati; Actinomycetota; Actinomycetes; Kitasatosporales; Streptomycetaceae. RNAcentral also lists the same sequence under 2 other names. The record is from RNAcentral.